CGACGUUUGCGACAGAGUUGUGUGCAGCCACUUUGAAAUAUUUCGUUGAAUUAUUAAGAACUUAAGAAUCAGUAGUGCGAUGAAUGUUGUGUUUAGCGUGUUUGGCGAAAUGAUUGUGCAUAAUGACAGAAGUACGUAUCGCCUGAAACUAGAUCUGUGUGAUGCUCAGGCGUCUGCAUAUAUUCCAUUGAGACCUGCGAUACGAGGCUCACUACGUGACAGACGUCAUCAUUGGAACCCUGGAAAUUGGCGGACCAGGUAGUGAAAUACAUUGUAGAUUCAGUGAAGACGGAGGAUGUGAGGGCAAUUGAAGCCCCUUAGGAACAGUUCUCGUGCAUCGAAAUGGAAGGACAGCUGGCCUUCAUAAAGGCAAAUUUCGGCUCCUUGACAGAAGGAAUUCAGUGCUUGCAGGAGAAAGGAGCAAUGCUAGAAGACUCACUCGCUCUGGUGAAAAAAAUAGCCAGUAAUUUGGAGAAAGUGUCAGGUGACAUUGGUAAAAUGGUGUCAAGAAAAAUGAAGUGUUCUGGAUAAGAACCCAGGUUAUGAAACAUUAUGCAACAUUUCUCGAAUUCUGUCAGAGUCCUUCAGCGCUUUCAGCAUCGAAGAACUUACUGCUAGUGAUUUGGUACACUUCAAGUAUGCUCCCAUUGUGUCUGCAGAUGUGGAAAAGAGAUUCUCC
This is a long non-coding RNA of Cryptotermes secundus, 679 nucleotides long. RefSeq lists it as uncharacterized. NCBI's taxonomy places the organism in Eukaryota, Metazoa, Arthropoda, Insecta, Blattodea, Kalotermitidae. The record is from RefSeq and is a predicted model, not a curated record. The transcript has 3 exons.